Molecule: ribosomal RNA, 647 nt
Filed under: Streptomyces sp.
Lineage: Bacteria; Bacillati; Actinomycetota; Actinomycetes; Kitasatosporales; Streptomycetaceae
Description: bacterial SSU rRNA
Rfam family: Bacterial small subunit ribosomal RNA
Source: RNAcentral
GUUCGCGGCCUAUCAGCUUGUUGGUGAGGUAACGGCUCACCAAGGCGACGACGGGUAGCCGGCCUGAGAGGGCGACCGGCCACACUGGGACUGAGACACGGCCCAGACUCCUACGGGAGGCAGCAGUGGGGAAUAUUGCACAAUGGGCGAAAGCCUGAUGCAGCGACGCCGCGUGAGGGAUGACGGCCUUCGGGUUGUAAACCUCUUUCAGCAGGGAAGAAGCGAAAGUGACGGUACCUGCAGAAGAAGCGCCGGCUAACUACGUGCCAGCAGCCGCGGUAAUACGUAGGGCGCGAGCGUUGUCCGGAAUUAUUGGGCGUAAAGAGCUCGUAGGCGGCUUGUCGCGUCGGUUGUGAAAGCCCGGGGCUUAACCCCGGGUCUGCAGUCGAUACGGGCAGGCUAGAGUUCGGUAGGGGAGAUCGGAAUUCCUGGUGUAGCGGUGAAAUGCGCAGAUAUCAGGAGGAACACCGGUGGCGAAGGCGGAUCUCUGGGCCGAUACUGACGCUGAGGAGCGAAAGCGUGGGGAGCGAACAGGAUUAGAUACCCUGGUAGUCCACGCCGUAAACGGUGGGCACUAGGUGUGGGCGACAUUCCACGUCGUCCGUGCCGCAGCUAACGCAUUAAGUGCCCCGCCUGGGGGAGUACGG